UUAAGCGACCAAGCGUACACGGUGGAUGCCCUGGCAGUCAGAGGCGAUGAAGGACGUGCUAAUCUGCGAAAAGCGCCGGUAAGGUGAUAUGAACCGUUAUAACCGGCGAUGUCCGAAUGGGGAAACCCAGUGUGACUCGUCACACUAUCAUUAACUGAAUCCAUAGGUUAAUGAGGCGAACCGGGGGAACUGAAACAUCUAAGUACCCCGAGGAAAAGAAAUCAACCGAGAUUCCCCCAGUAGCGGCGAGCGAACGGGGAGGAGCCCAGAGCCUGAAUCAGCAUAUGUGUUAGUGGAAGCGUCUGGAAAGGCGCGCGAUACAGGGUGACAGCCCCGUACACAAAAGCGCAUAUGCUGUGAGCUCGAUGAGUAGGGCGGGACACGUGGUAUCCUGUCUGAAUAUGGGGGGACCAUCCUCCAAGGCUAAAUACUCCUGACUGACCGAUAGUGAACCAGUACCGUGAGGGAAAGGCGAAAAGAACCCCGGCGAGGGGAGUGAAAAAGAACCUGAAACCGUGUACGUACAAGCAGUGGGAGCCCCACCACCAAAGCGUUUCGCUUUGCGUGGUGCGCAAAAUGCGUAACGACAGCACGAUUGCGGUUAACGGAGCGUAAGCGACGUUCAACACAAGAAUCAGGCAGUGGAGCGUUUUGGGGUGGGGUGACUGCGUACCUUUUGUAUAAUGGGUCAGCGACUUAUAUUCUGUAGCAAGGUUAACCGUAUAGGGGAGCCGCAGGGAAACCGAGUCUUAACCGGGCGUUAAGUUGCAGGGUAUAGACCCGAAACCCGGUGAUCUAGCCAUGGGCAGGUUGAAGGUUGGGUAACACUAACUGGAGGACCGAACCGACUAAUGUUGAAAAAUUAGCGGAUGACCUGUGGCUGGGGGUGAAAGGCCAAUCAAACCGGGAGAUAGCUGGUUCUCCCCGAAAGCUAUUUAGGUAGCGCCUCGUGAAUUCAUCUCCGGGGGUAGAGCACUGUUUCGGCCAGGGGGCCAUCCCGGCUUACCAACCCGAUGCAAACUGCGAAUACCGGAGAAUGUUAUCACGGGAGACACACGGCGGGUGCUAACGUCCGUCGUGAAGAGGGAAACAACCCAGACCGCCAGCUAAGGUCCCAAAGUCAUGGUUAAGUGGGAAACGAUGUGGGAAGGCCCAGACAGCCAGGAUGUUGGCUUAGAAGCAGCCAUCAUUUAAAGAAAGCGUAAUAGCUCACUGGUCGAGUCGGCCUGCGCGGAAGAUGUAACGGGGCUAAACCAUGCACCGAAGCUGCGGCAGCGACACUAAGUGUUGUUGGGUAGGGGAGCGUUCUGUAAGCCUGCGAAGGUGGCCUGUGAGGGUUGCUGGAGGUAUCAGAAGUGCGAAUGCUGACAUAAGUAACGAUAAUGCGGGUGAAAAACCCGCACGCCGGAAGACCAAGGGUUCCUGUCCAACGUUAAUCGGGGCAGGGUGAGUCGACCCCUAAGGCGAGGCCGAAAGGCGUAGUCGAUGGGAAACAGGUUAAUAUUCCUGUACCUGGUGUUACUGCGAAGGGGGGACGGAGAAGGCUAUGUUGGCCGGGCGACGGUUGUCCCGGUUUAAGCGUGUAGGCUGGUUUUCCAGGCAAAUCCGGAAAAUCAAGGCUGAGGCGUGACGACGAGGCACUACGGUGCUGAAGCAACAAAUGCCCUGCUUCCAGGAAAAGCCUCUAAGCCUCAGGUAACAUCAGAUCGUACCCGAAACCGACACAGGUGGUCAGGUAGAGAAUACCAAGGCGCUUGAGAGAACCCGGGUGAAGGAACUAGGCAAAAUGGUGCCGUAACUUCGGGAGAAGGCACGCUGACAUGUAGGUGAAGCGGUUUACCCGUGGAGCUGAAGUCAGUCGAAGAUACCAGCUGGCUGCAACUGUUUAUUAAAAACACAGCACUGUGCAAACACGAAAGUGGACGUAUACGGUGUGACGCCUGCCCGGUGCCGGAAGGUUAAUUGAUGGGGUCAGCGCAAGCGAAGCUCCUGAUCGAAGCCCCGGUAAACGGCGGCCGUAACUAUAACGGUCCUAAGGUAGCGAAAUUCCUUGUCGGGUAAGUUCCGACCUGCACGAAUGGCGUAAUGAUGGCCAGGCUGUCUCCACCCGGGACUCAGUGAAAUUGAACUCGCUGUGAAGAUGCAGUGUACCCGCGGCAAGACGGAAAGACCCCGUGAACCUUUACUAUAGCUUGACACUGAACACUGGUCCUUGAUGUGCAGGAUAGGUGGGAGGCUUUGAAGUGUGGACGCCAGUCUGCAUGGAGCCGUCCUUGAAAUACCACCCUUUAAUGGCUGGUGUUCUAACGUAGACCCGUGAACCGGGUUGCGGACAGUGUCUGGUGGGUAGUUUGACUGGGGCGGUCUCCUCCUAAAGCGUAACGGAGGAGCACGAAGGUUGGCUAAUCCUGGUCGGACAUCAGGAGGUUAGUGCAAUGGCAUAAGCCAGCUUGACUGCGAGCGUGACGGCGCGAGCAGGUGCGAAAGCAGGUCAUAGUGAUCCGGUGGUUCUGAAUGGAAGGGCCAUCGCUCAACGGAUAAAAGGUACUCCGGGGAUAACAGGCUGAUACCGCCCAAGAGUUCAUAUCGACGGCGGUGUUUGGCACCUCGAUGUCGGCUCAUCACAUCCUGGGGCUGAAGUAGGUCCCAAGGGUAUGGCUGUUCGCCAUUUAAAGUGGUACGCGAGCUGGGUUUAGAACGUCGUGAGACAGUUCGGUCCCUAUCUGCCGUGGGCGCUGGAGAACUGAGGGGGGCUGCUCCUAGUACGAGAGGACCGGAGUGGACGCAUCACUGGUGUUCGGGUUGUCAUGCCAAUGGCACUGCCCGGUAGCUAAAUGCGGAAGAGAUAAGUGCUGAAAGCAUCUAAGCACGAAACUUGCCCCGAGAUGAGUUCUCCCUGAGACUACAAGUCUCCUGAAGGAACGUUGAAGACGACGACGUUGAUAGGCCGGGUGUGUAAGCGCAGCGAUGCGUUGAGCUAACCGGUACUAAUGAACCGUGAGGCUUAACCUU
RNAcentral lists this ribosomal RNA (3012 nucleotides) under Salmonella enterica subsp. arizonae. Its description in RNAcentral is "bacterial LSU rRNA". It matches the Rfam family "Bacterial large subunit ribosomal RNA". The record is from RNAcentral. Lineage: Bacteria; Pseudomonadati; Pseudomonadota; Gammaproteobacteria; Enterobacterales; Enterobacteriaceae.